Long non-coding RNA from Nematostella vectensis (starlet sea anemone), 329 nucleotides. RefSeq lists it as uncharacterized. Lineage: Eukaryota; Metazoa; Cnidaria; Anthozoa; Actiniaria; Edwardsiidae. The record is from RefSeq and is a predicted model, not a curated record. The transcript is spliced from 2 exons.
GGACCCAGUAGGGAUCAAGGUCAAUCGCCUGCAGACAACAAUAAUGGCGUUAGUUUGAAACCAGAAACCAGGGGCCGUAUAGGUAGAACCAAGGAAUACUUGUGAUACUCGUUCAUAACGACAAAGCUUUUCUUAGAAAAAAUAUACUGUCUUGCUGGGGAUCGAGUUGCGUGCGUGGGCUAGAAACGAGCUAAAUGGUUGCACUUCUAUGAUAAAGCAACAAGCCAAAUGCAAUGACUACUUAGAAGAUAUUACGAAAUUCACCCUUUCCGGCCGCAUCCAACAGAAUGACGUUUUGCGUUUUGUCUUGAUGGACAACGAAGUAAAAA